Molecule: non-coding RNA, 72 nt
Organism: Dallia pectoralis (Alaska blackfish)
Lineage: Eukaryota; Metazoa; Chordata; Actinopteri; Esociformes; Umbridae
Source: the annotation of a GenBank genome assembly
GGCUCACUAGCUCAGCGGGUUAGAGCAUGCGCCUUUAAGCGCAGGGUCCUGGGUUCGAAUCCUGGUGGGCUA